Molecule: ribosomal RNA, 1192 nt
Filed under: Pseudomonas sp.
Lineage: Bacteria; Pseudomonadati; Pseudomonadota; Gammaproteobacteria; Pseudomonadales; Pseudomonadaceae
Description: bacterial SSU rRNA
Rfam family: Bacterial small subunit ribosomal RNA
Source: RNAcentral
UGCAGUCGAGCGGAUGAAAGGAGCUUGCUCCUGGAUUCAGCGGCGGACGGGUGAGUAAUGCCUAGGAAUCUGCCUGGUAGUGGGGGACAACGUUUCGAAAGGAACGCUAAUACCGCAUACGUCCUACGGGAGAAAGCAGGGGACCUUCGGGCCUUGCGCUAUCAGAUGAGCCUAGGUCGGAUUAGCUAGUUGGUGAGGUAAUGGCUCACCAAGGCGACGAUCCGUAACUGGUCUGAGAGGAUGAUCAGUCACACUGGAACUGAGACACGGUCCAGACUCCUACGGGAGGCAGCAGUGGGGAAUAUUGGACAAUGGGCGAAAGCCUGAUCCAGCCAUGCCGCGUGUGUGAAGAAGGUCUUCGGAUUGUAAAGCACUUUAAGUUGGGAGGAAGGGCAGUAAAUUAAUACUUUGCUGUUUUGACGUUACCGACAGAAUAAGCACCGGCUAACUCUGUGCCAGCAGCCGCGGUAAUACAGAGGGUGCAAGCGUUAAUCGGAAUUACUGGGCGUAAAGCGCGCGUAGGUGGUUUGUUAAGUUGGAUGUGAAAUCCCCGGGCUCAACCUGGGAACUGCAUCCAAAACUGGCAAGCUAGAGUAUGGUAGAGGGUGGUGGAAUUUCCUGUGUAGCGGUGAAAUGCGUAGAUAUAGGAAGGAACACCAGUGGCGAAGGCGACCACCUGGACUGAUACUGACACUGAGGUGCGAAAGCGUGGGGAGCAGACAGGAUUAGAUACCCUGGUAGUCCACGCCGUAAACGAUGUCAACUAGCCGUUGGGAGCCUUGAGCUCUUAGUGGCGCAGCUGACGCAUUAAGUUGACCGCCUGGGGAGUACGGCCGCAAGGUUAAUACUCAGAUGAAUUGACGGGGGCCCGCACAAGCGGUGGAGCAUGUGGUUUAAUUCGAAGCAACGCGAAGAACCUUACCAGGCCUUGACAUCCAAUGAACUUUCCAGAGAUGGAUUGGUGCCUUCGGGAACAUUGAGACAGGUGCUGCAUGGCUGUCGUCAGCUCGUGUCGUGAGAUGUUGGGUUAAGUCCCGUAACGAGCGCAACCCUUGUCCUUAGUUACCAGCACGUAAUGGUGGGCACUCUAAGGAGACGGCCGGUGACAAACCGGAGGAGAGGGGGGGAGGAAGUCCAGUCCUCAGGGCCCUUACGGCGGGGGGAACACCUGCUACAAGGGUGGGUACAAAAG